GAUGAAGAACGUAGCGAAAUGCGAUAAGUAAUGUGAAUUGCAGAAUUCAGUGAAUCAUCGAAUCUUUGAACGCACAUUGCGCCCCUUGGUAUUCCGAGGGGCAUGCCUGUUCGAGCGUCAUUAUAACCCCUCAAGCUCAGCUUGGUGUUGGGGCCUGCUGCACUGGCAGCCCUUAAAAUCAGUGGCGGCGCCAUCUGGCUCUAAGCGUAGUAAUUCUUCUCGCUAUGGAGUCCUGGUGGAUGCUUGCCAUCAACCCCCAAUUUUUCUAUGGUUGACCUCGGAUCAGGUAGGGAUACCCGCUGAACUUAAGCAUAUCAUAAGGGAGGA
RNAcentral lists this unclassified non-coding RNA (327 nucleotides) under soil metagenome. RNAcentral's name for it is "partial contains 5.8S ribosomal RNA, internal transcribed spacer 2, and large subunit ribosomal RNA". The stretch from base 1 to 120 matches the Rfam family "5.8S ribosomal RNA", at positions 35 to 154 of the family's 154-position model. The record is from RNAcentral.